CCCCUCUCAGGAUCGUGUCUGGAGAGUUUCCAGAACUCUGCCAGUCUCAGCUGCAGGAGGGAGAGUCAAACAGAGGCAUACCCAUUCCAUUCCUAACUUGGGCAGUGCUUAGUGAGUGGAAGGCAAUCUGCUACAAAU
Ornithorhynchus anatinus (platypus) is the source of this 138-nucleotide small nucleolar RNA. The record is from RefSeq and is a predicted model, not a curated record. Lineage: Eukaryota; Metazoa; Chordata; Mammalia; Monotremata; Ornithorhynchidae.